This 76-nucleotide transfer RNA is filed under the name Rhododendron simsii. RNAcentral describes it as "tRNA-Met". Lineage: Eukaryota; Viridiplantae; Streptophyta; Magnoliopsida; Ericales; Ericaceae. The record is from RNAcentral.
GUUUCGAUAGGAAUUGGUCAACUCAUCAGGCCCAUGACCUGAAGGCCGCAGGUUCGAAUCCUGUCCCCUCCAAAUU